UGAUGUAUUUGCAGUUGAAGGAACAGUUUAAUUGUUUAGAUACCCGUGUAUCGAAUCUGGAAUCUGUCAUUUCCAGUAAACCCAAUUCAUCACAGGACGAAGGAACCAUUGGAUGAUCGAAGCUCCUGAUUUCUUGCAGCAUGUGCAUAUGCUCCCCUUACGGAUUUCUCGUCUUUUUUUCUGUAUGAAGAUGGGAAAUUUGUACCAAAUACACAUAUUACAUGAGUUUUCUUCAGCUUUUCACUUUUGACUGAUACAGCAAUGUUAUAAAUUGUUUCCUGUCUAUGUAAGAGUGAAAAUUGUUGUUUUGUGAAGUUGACAUUUCUGGUGCAACUCAGUCCAAGAUUUAUUUGUUACUCAGUCCGAGAAGUUAUGAGAAAAUGCAUUUCGCUCCCUAGAAAUUUUCAAUUUUCGCACUUCCCCCUUCAAAAUUUUAUUCAAGAUGCACUUUGUCCCAAAUCACAAAUUCCGGUGUAUUUUUCAUUUGAAUUGUCGUAAGAUAGUCCACUUGAAGGGCUUUUGAGUCA
This is a non-coding RNA of Erythranthe guttata (spotted monkey flower), 527 nucleotides long. Lineage: Eukaryota; Viridiplantae; Streptophyta; Magnoliopsida; Lamiales; Phrymaceae. The record is from RefSeq and is a predicted model, not a curated record.